Molecule: ribosomal RNA, 23 nt
Filed under: Acleisanthes longiflora
Lineage: Eukaryota; Viridiplantae; Streptophyta; Magnoliopsida; Caryophyllales; Nyctaginaceae
Description: partial 18S ribosomal RNA
Source: RNAcentral
GUGAACCUGCGNAAGGAUCAUUG